This 1061-nucleotide unclassified non-coding RNA is filed under the name Hevea brasiliensis (rubber tree). The record is from RNAcentral. Lineage: Eukaryota; Viridiplantae; Streptophyta; Magnoliopsida; Malpighiales; Euphorbiaceae.
AAGAGCAGAUGAAGAGACAUGGGAUCCAUCUGCUAGCACUUUCUCAUGUGUACUUGGUACCACAGCUAAAGCAGAGAUGCACAAAGGGGUUAGCUGAUCAAUUGACUAUUGAAAAUGCUGUGGAUAUGCUUCAAUUGGCUAGGCUCUGUGAUGCACCUGAUCUAUAUCUGAAGUGCUUGAAAUUGAUAUCAACUAAUUUCAAGAAAACUGAGAAGACUGAGGGUUGGAAGUUCAUCCUAGAUCAUGAUCCUAAACUCGAACUCGAAAUUCUUCAGUUCAUGGAUGAGGCUGAUUCGAGGAAGAAGAGGACAAGAAGACAUAGAAGGGAGCAGAACUUGUAUUUACAGCUAAGCGAAGCUAUGGAUUGUAUAGAGCACAUAUGCACUGAAGGAUGCACCAGUGUAGGGCCAUGUGGUGAGGAGCCCUGCACAAAGAAGCUUCCAUGUAGCAAAUUCAAAACAUGUCAAGGCGUCCAGCUACUUAUUCGACACUUUGCUACAUGUAAACGAAGGGUGAAUGGAGGUUGUCUGCGAUGCAAAAGGAUGUGGCAGCUACUUAGAUUACAUUCGUCUAUCUGUGAUCAACCUGAUGAAUGUCGAGUUCCACUGUGCAGACAAUUCAAAGAGAAAGUGCAACGAAAGGGAGAUGAUGGGGUAUGGAAAUCACUUGUUGAGAAGGUGGUGUCUGCCAGAGCUUUGUCCUCUUUAUCUCUGCCCAAAAGAAAGAGAGAAGAGGAACCAAAAAUGAACUUACAACAUCAUCAAGUGAGAAGCUUCUUGACAACUCAGUGUCACUAAAAGUUUAGUACUACUGUUACUAUAUAGUUUGAGAAGGAAUUGAUGAUAGAAUUUUAGUAUGUGUGCCAGUCUUGAGUUGGAGAAAUCCUCAUAAAUUUGGGGUAUUCUUCAGCAGUAGAUCAUUGUUAGGAAUGAAUUUUGUACAUGUAGUGGAUGGUUGUCAGUUAUUAUGUUCCUCCAAUUUGCUCAAUGAUCUAGUAAACUUGUGAGGUAAUUUAUUGUUAUUGGCUUCAAUCUGUUGAAGUUUUGUUUCUUUUGUCAUGC